UCUACGGGGGGCAGCAGUGGGGAAUAUUGGACAAUGGGCGAAAGCCUGAUCCAGCCAUGCCGCGUGUGUGAAGAAGGCCUUCGGGUUGUAAAGCACUUUCAGUGGGGAAGAAAGCCUUGGGGCUAAUACCCUCGAGGAAGGACAUCACCCACAGAAGAAGCACCGGCUAACUCCGUGCCAGCAGCCGCGGUAAUACGGAGGGUGCGAGCGUUAAUCGGAAUUACUGGGCGUAAAGCGCGCGUAGGCGGUCUGAUAAGCCGGUUGUGAAAGCCCCGGGCUCAACCUGGGAACGGCAUCCGGAACUGUCAGGCUAGAGUGCAGGAGAGGAAGGUAGAAUUCCCGGUGUAGCGGUGAAAUGCGUAGAGAUCGGGAGGAAUACCAGUGGCGAAGGCGGCCUUCUGGACUGACACUGACGCUGAGGUGCGAAAGCGUGGGUAGCAAACAGGAUUAGAUACCCUGGUAGUC
This 465-nucleotide ribosomal RNA is filed under the name Vreelandella stevensii. RNAcentral's name for it is "partial 16S ribosomal RNA". It matches the Rfam family "Bacterial small subunit ribosomal RNA", at positions 338 to 795 of the family's 1533-position model. Lineage: Bacteria; Pseudomonadati; Pseudomonadota; Gammaproteobacteria; Oceanospirillales; Halomonadaceae. The record is from RNAcentral.